Molecule: ribosomal RNA, 253 nt
Filed under: uncultured bacterium
Lineage: Bacteria
Description: partial 16S ribosomal RNA
Rfam family: Bacterial small subunit ribosomal RNA
Source: RNAcentral
UACGUAGGGUGCGAGCGUUGUCCGGAAUUAUUGGGCGUAAAGAGCUCGUAGGCGGUGUGUCACGUCGGCCGUGAAAACCUGGGGCUUAACUCUGGGCGUGCGGUCGAUACGGGCGGGCUAGAGUUCGGUAGGGGAGACUGGAAUUCCUGGUGUAGCGGUGAAAUGCGCAGAUAUCAGGAGGAACACCGGUGGCGAAGGCGGGUCUCUGGGCCGAUACUGACGCUGAGGAGCGAAAGCGUGGGGAGCGAACAGG